This 442-nucleotide ribosomal RNA is filed under the name uncultured bacterium. Its description in RNAcentral is "partial 16S ribosomal RNA". It matches the Rfam family "Bacterial small subunit ribosomal RNA", at positions 338 to 795 of the family's 1533-position model. The record is from RNAcentral.
CCUACGGGAGGCAGCAGUAGGGAAUCUUUCACAAUGGGCGAAAGCCUGAUGGAGCAACGCCGCGUGCAGGAUGAAGGCCUUCGGGUUGGAAACUGCUUUUAUAAGCGAGAAAUAUGAUGGUAACUUAUGAAUAAGGAUCGGCUAACUACGUGCCAGCAGCCGCGGGCAUACGUAGGAUCCGAGCAUUAUCCGGAGUGACUGGGUGUAAAGAGUUGCGUAGGUGGCAUAAUAAGUAGCUAGUGAAAUCUGGUGGCUCAACCAUUCAGACUAUUAGCUAAACUGUUAAGCUCGAGACCGUUAGGGGUAACUGGAAUGUCUAGUGUAGGAGUGAAAUCCGUAGAUAUUAGAAAGAACACCGAUAGCGUAGGCAGGUUACUGGGACGGUUCUGACACUAAGGCACGAAAGCGUAGGGAGCAAACGGGAUUAGAUACCCUUGUAGUC